Molecule: transfer RNA, 85 nt
Filed under: Magnetospirillum sp.
Lineage: Bacteria; Pseudomonadati; Pseudomonadota; Alphaproteobacteria; Rhodospirillales; Rhodospirillaceae
Also listed under: 2 other names
Description: tRNA-Leu
Rfam family: tRNA
About the family: Transfer RNA (tRNA) molecules are approximately 80 nucleotides in length. Their secondary structure includes four short double-helical elements and three loops (D, anti-codon, and T loops).
Source: RNAcentral
GCGGGCGUGGUGGAACUGGUAGACACACUGGAUUUAGGUUCCAGCGGCGCAAGCCUUGGGGGUUCAAAUCCCUUCGCCCGCACCA